UUUUUAAAUAAAAAAAAUCUUUGGUAAAAAAUUGUAAUACCAGUUUUCAAGUUUCACGUGAGUUUUCAUCUUCCCUUAUAGUAUUUUGUUAAUACAAUACAUCUUGUAAGUUUAGUUCAAAUAAUAUUAGUUUUAAGAAUCCAAAGAAAAUGAAAUACAAGAUAUAUAAAACGAUUAUUAUCACUUUUUUUAUCUACAAAAUUAUACUAAUCAUUGAUUGGAACAAAAAAUAAUUUUCAUGUUCAUUAGUAUUUUGAAACACGGCAGCAACAACAAUGUUUCAAUAUUACCAAAUCGAGGCAACAAAAUUGAUAAAGAGAUUUAUUUAUCGGGAUUUUCGUUCCAUAAAUGUAACAUCACUGCAAGUACUGACCUUACCUCAGCUAUGGUGUAUACUGGAAUACAGGUUUAAGAAAGGAUACAAAGAGAAGAUGAGAAAGAUAUAAAAUAAUCAUAGAUCCUAAUGAAGCUGCAUGUUUUACCGUUGAAAAACUUCUACAAGGAAACUGUAGAUUAACUCUAGUGGAGUUCUGUACGAAUUAGGACUAUGACUAUUUUAUCUUGAUGUGAUCUUUUUAAUUAACAAAUAAUCUAUGAUUAUUAUAUACAGAAUUCUAAAUAAAAUAUAACAAAAAAA
Molecule: small RNA, 637 nt
Filed under: Arabidopsis thaliana (thale cress)
Lineage: Eukaryota; Viridiplantae; Streptophyta; Magnoliopsida; Brassicales; Brassicaceae
Description: ATSL114100
Source: RNAcentral